Molecule: ribosomal RNA, 254 nt
Filed under: uncultured bacterium
Lineage: Bacteria
Description: partial 16S ribosomal RNA
Rfam family: Bacterial small subunit ribosomal RNA
Source: RNAcentral
UACGGGGGGAGCAAGCGUUGUUCGGAUUUACUGGGCGUAAAGGGCGCGUAGGCGGUCAGCACAAGUCAGUUGUGAAAUCUCCGGGCUUAACCCGGAAAGGUCAACUGAUACUGUGCGACUAGAGUGCGGAAGGGGCAACUGGAAUUCUCGGUGUAGCGGUGAAAUGCGCAGAUAUCAGGAGGAACACCAAUGGCGAAGGCAGCUCUCUGGGACGGUACUGACGCUGAGACGCGAAAGCGUGGGGAGCGAACAGG